Molecule: microRNA precursor, 212 nt
Filed under: Paeonia lactiflora (Chinese peony)
Lineage: Eukaryota; Viridiplantae; Streptophyta; Magnoliopsida; Saxifragales; Paeoniaceae
Description: miR11599 stem-loop (pla-MIR11599)
Source: miRBase by way of RNAcentral
CACGGUUGAGUUCAACCGUGGUAGAUGUUAAAAAUAUCUACCACGGUUAAAUUCAACCGUGGUAGUUGUUAAAAAUAUUUACCACGGUUGACCUCAACCGUGGUUGUUGCUAAAGGGGAAAUAGAAGGGGGAAAAUAGUCGGGGAAAUAAAAGGGGGGAAAUAACCCGCUAAAUUUUGAUAAAAAUAUCUACCACGGUUGGACCCAACCGUG